AAGGGACGAAAGGAGGUCUUCACCAAGCUGGAGAUAACAAUGGAACCCAACCCGACCGACCGGCCGCCAAAGAGCGUCCUGUGUCAGAGCUAACUCUCAGCCCCUGCUCACCAGCUCCACAGCUGUCUGCCACCCAGACCGCUUCCAUGCAUGGGGAGCCACCAAAGACAGCCAAGGUCAGGUAGGCUGGUGUGCCGGGUAAGCAGCACUGACCGGGUGUUACUUGAUCUGCAGGGAGUAUUCACUGGUCCUAGGCCUUGCGCUCCGGGACCUUCUAACCUAGGGGUCUUUGUUUCGGUAGGUAUCCGGCUCACGUCUAACUCCUUCCUGCCACAGCCUUAUCUAUGGUGGUCAGGAUAUCUUGGAGUUACUGCUUUGUAUGGGAGCUCAGCGAAAUGCAAGCGUCUUUGAGGUCAGAGGCAGCCUGCGAUUCUUCCUCAGGUCUACACGGGCAGUUUGUCUCCCUUUAGACCAACAUCCACAAAGCUACUCACUCCAUAAGGUGUACCUGAGAGAAGAAGAGCUGGUCAGUGUCACGCCCCACCUUCCCCAGCUCGAACCCGGGAAUCCCCAAGCUCUCUCGAACGAACGUGCCUGACUGAUGCCAUGCCGAAGGACGCCGUCCCCUCAGUGUCUGAGGAGAAAUUUGCCCAAGAUUGCCAUGCCAGGGGGUCCGGUCGGAGCCACGGACACCGGAAAGAGGAAGAUGCUCCCCUCGGCUCACAGAACGUCGCACACCUAGCGUCUCCCCGCUGCUUCAUUGUACUUUCUGAGUUCCUUUCUUUGGGCUCUGAUGGUUUAGCCAGUGAGACUUCUCUUCCCAGGUCUCUCGUGGGCCUCAAAAGGAAAUUGUUAAAUGGGCCCGGCCACGGUUUCCCUUGAUCAAAGAGAUUUAGAUCAUCUGUUCUGCGACACCCCCGCCCCCCCUUCCCGAAUAGGUGGAAAAAAAAAAUGUGUGUGUUUACGUAUUGAAAUCUCAGUCCCUUCCU
Long non-coding RNA from Peromyscus californicus insignis, 989 nucleotides. RefSeq lists it as uncharacterized. The transcript is spliced from 4 exons. Lineage: Eukaryota; Metazoa; Chordata; Mammalia; Rodentia; Cricetidae. The record is from RefSeq and is a predicted model, not a curated record.